This 493-nucleotide ribosomal RNA is filed under the name uncultured bacterium. Its description in RNAcentral is "partial 16S ribosomal RNA". It matches the Rfam family "Bacterial small subunit ribosomal RNA", at positions 27 to 507 of the family's 1533-position model. The record is from RNAcentral.
GAGUGAACGCUGGCGGUAGGCCUACCACAUGCAAGUCGAACGGCAGCACAGUAAGGGCUUGCUCUUACGGGUGGCGAGUGGCGGACGGGUGAGGAAUACAUCGGAAUCUACUUUUUCGUGGGGGAUAACGUAGGGAAACUUACGCUAUUACCGCAUACGACCUACGGGUGAAACCAGGGGAUCUUCGGCCCUUGCGCGAUUGAAUGAGCCGAUGUCGGAUUAGCUAGUUGGCGGGGUAAAGGCCCACCAAGGCGACGAUCCGUAGCUGGUCUGAGAGGAUGAUCAGCCACACUGGAACUGAGACACGGUCCAGACUCCUACGGGAGGCAGCAGUGGGGAAUAUUGGACAAUGGGCGCAAGCCUGAUCCAGCCAUACCGCGUGGGUGAAGAAGGCCUUCGGGUUGUAAAGCCCUUUUGUUGGGAAAGAAAAGCAGCAGGUUAAUACCCCGCUGUUCUGACGGUACCCAAAGAAUAAGCACCGGCUAACUUCGUG